AUUGAACGCUGGCGGAAUGCUUUACACAUGCAAGUCGAACGGCAGCACGGACUUCGGUCUGGUGGCGAGUGGCGAACGGGUGAGUAAUGUAUCGGAACGUGCCCAGUCGUGGGGGAUAACGUAGUGAAAAUUACGCUAAUACCGCAUACGAUCUAUGGAUGAAAGCGGGGGAUCGCAAGACCUCGCGCGAUUGGAGCGGCCGAUAUCAGAUUAGGUAGUUGGUGGGGUAAAGGCCAGCCAAGCCAACGAUCUGUAGCUGGUCUGAUAGGACGACCAGCCACACUGGAACUGAGACACGGUCCAGACUCCUACGGGAGGCAGCAGUGGGGAAUGUUGGACAAUGGGCGAAAGCCUGAUCCAGCCAUUCCGCGUGCAGGAUGAAGGCCCUCGGGUUGUAAACUGCUUUUGUACAGAACGAAAAGGUUUCUACUAAUACUAGGAGCUCAUGACGGUACUGUAAGAAUAAGCACCGGCUAACUACGUGCCAGCCGCCGCCGUAA
RNAcentral lists this ribosomal RNA (500 nucleotides) under uncultured bacterium. RNAcentral describes it as "partial 16S ribosomal RNA". It matches the Rfam family "Bacterial small subunit ribosomal RNA", at positions 30 to 523 of the family's 1533-position model. The record is from RNAcentral.